UGGCAGAUUAAACCCACUUCAUCCCCCA
This 28-nucleotide non-coding RNA is filed under the name Homo sapiens (human). Lineage: Eukaryota; Metazoa; Chordata; Mammalia; Primates; Hominidae. The record is from RNAcentral.